AUGGGGCGCCUGCAGGUCACAAGGGUAGGGGCAUUAUUAGCAGGAAGCUGGAAAUUUAAAUUUAUACCAGGAUUCAAGAAGGGAAGUUGGGAGUCACAUGCUUUCCACCAAACAGUAAUUAACAAUAUAAGACAGAAUGAAUGCAAACCAGAAUCAAGACAGAGGGUGCAUUUUUGGCUAGUGUGGGAACUUUGAGUCUGAGGGGAUGUCAGAAUUUCCCUGGCACAGAAUAGGAAGAGAGUUCUCUCUCUCUCUCUCUCUCUCUCUGUGUGUGUGUGUGUGUGUGUGUGUGUGUGUGUGUGUGUGUGUGUGUUGGAAUCAACAGUGCAGUGCAGCCAAAACUCUACCUCUGCCCUUCUAGGGUUUUGGCUGGGCUUGAGAAUUAAAUUGACAUAAGAUAGAUUAACAAGAGAAAAGCAUAUAAAUUUAUGACGUGGGAGCCCUCAUGAGAAAAUGAAGAUGAAAAAAAAGAGCAGAGUUUACCUGAUGUUAUAAAGAGGCAAUGGUGGAAAAGUAACUAAAUUUUGUGGGGAGACCAAAGGGGGAUAAUUCUUUUAACAAGGUCUGUUUAUACAGAAUUAUCUCAGCUGUGACUCCCCAUGGAAGAAUGUUUCUUUUCUCUUGGCACAGGGAGGCCAUCUUCCACGUGGCAGUUUUUAUCUCCUACCUUCAGGGAAAAGAAGGGGAAGAUUAGAAUACACCUAAUCUUCUUGAAUCUGCUCUUUUUCAAGUGCCUUUGGCUUUUUCAAGUGCCUUAUGUGAAAGUGGCAUAUUUGGGGGUGGCAUAGCCUGCCACCUUCAGUAGUGUGACUCAAGGCUGAGUCAGAAAAGUGCAUGGUAUUUUGAGAGGUAGGGAGCAAACAUUUGUUGUCAGGUAACCCUACAAGCACAGCAUGGGGAAAGGGUCCAUCUCCUAGUCUUGCUCAUUCUCCCAAGAGGCAUCUUAAGUCAUACAGAACUCUCAGAAUUCUCAUAUGACCCUUUUGAAAAUCAGCAGAGGCCUCUAUCAGAAUCAGUGAAAGCAGGUAUGCUUUCUAGACCCGAGAGAGACAUGGAAGAUUCCAGGAUCGGGUCCUGGAGAAUUUCUGUUUCAAAAUGUGCAGUCUCUAGUUUUUCUCCAAAUGAACUUGAGUUGGAAUCUCAAUAAGUGGAUCCACCUGCCCGUCAAACAAACCAGGUAAAAGUGAUUCAGAUGGAAAAUCUUUUGGGUAAGAAAAUUGAAUAAGGAAUAAAAAAAUUUAUCCCAGCCGAAACUGACAUUGUGUCCAUUCUCUAAAGGCUCACAUAUAAACAGUGAUUAACAGAGAUCCCAUAAUGCUGGACACUGUGAGAGGGAGAUUUACUUUCAGUAGAAAUGCACUUACAUUUCUUGUUAUGCUUGGAAGCAGGGCAGCUAAUUCAUCCUUAGGAAAAUCAAAGAAACAUUUGGGAGGAAGGAAACAUUGACAAUACCACCAACUGACCCCUUUAAAAACUAUCUAUAGUUUUCUAUAAUUAGUCAAUAAAUGAACAGAAUCAUGUGAGUUCUUUCUUAUUUGGUUGAGGAGUAUGGCCUUGAGAACACAGAAAAGCCCUGAAUAUUUAAGUGUGUGAGCAACAUGGGAGGAAGGCAAAGUGGCCAGUGACCAGGACAGAAAAGACAACCUUAUGUAAUGGCAUGAUUUUACAUAACCUGGGUUCUCCUAGUACAUGGCAGGGAUUAAGUUACCAGGUUCACACAAGCUCCACCUGAGAUGCCAGUCCCAAUUAAUUUUUCAUGGCUUCCUGCAGCACAGCAUUGACAUAUAAGAUAAUAAAGAUUUCAGCUGUGUAAGAGACUGUGGCCAACGUGUAAUAUCUGUCUGGAAUAAAGGAGGGGGAAGAGAGAGAGAAGAGAAGGAAGGAAGGAAGGAAGGAAGGAAGGAAGGAAGGAAGGAAGGAAGGAAGGAAGGUGAGAGA
This 1938-nucleotide long non-coding RNA is filed under the name Macaca fascicularis (crab-eating macaque). Its description in RNAcentral is "lncRNA (ENSMFAG00000057867.1)". The record is from RNAcentral. Lineage: Eukaryota; Metazoa; Chordata; Mammalia; Primates; Cercopithecidae.